Long non-coding RNA from Triticum urartu, 515 nucleotides. RefSeq lists it as uncharacterized. The record is from RefSeq and is a predicted model, not a curated record. NCBI's taxonomy places the organism in Eukaryota, Viridiplantae, Streptophyta, Magnoliopsida, Poales, Poaceae.
CAACUGUUGGCCUUGUUCUUGAACAAGGAACGUGGAACAUCAACGUCUACCAACUACACAAACCAAUGGAAACAUUAGUGCAAGCUUAUGCAAUCUUGGAGAGAAUGUGAAGAGGAAUUUGAUAAUGGAACCAAAGGGUGAACUGCAAACCAUGAUCAAUCGGGAGUACUUCUCCAAAAAGAAAACAGGUUCAACAGGGCUUGGUUUCUAUGAAAAUAUCGAACACUUGGCGAAACCCCAAAAGAACACCUGUGACUAAACCACAGACAAAGAAGGCUCUCGGUGCUAAGCAGUGCAGCAAGCAAGUAGCACACACUGACACACAUGUUGCAAUCUUAUUCAUGAUUACUGAACAUGUAGCCGUUAAACUUCGGUGUUUUAGCACAGAAAUGGUACCUUGAAACGCUUUGAGUACUCGAGAAGAGUUGUUUGGUAGCACUCCUGGCAUAUCGAGGGAGGCACCUCCACGCUGAACUUAACCUGCAAAGCAGCAUACCACGGCCAUUACAAUCGAG